CCUACGGGUGGCAGCAGUGGGGAAUAUUGGUCAAUGGGCGCGAGCCUGACCCAGCAACGUCGCGUGAAGGAAGAAGGCUCUCGGGUUGUUAACCUCCUUUUACAGGGAAGAGAAGAAGACGGUACCUGUCGAAUAAGCCACGGCUAACUACGGGCCAGCAGCCGCGGUAAUACGGAGGUGGCAAGUGUUGUCCGGAUUUACUGGGUUUAAAGGGCGUGUAGCCGGGCUGACAAGUCAGAUGUGAAAUCCGGGGGCUCAAGCCCCGAACUGCAUUUGAAACUGUUAGUCUUGAGUAUCGGAGAGGCAGGCGGAAUUCCUGGUGUAGCGGUGAAAUGCGUAGAUAUUAGGAAGAACACCAGUGGCGAAGGCGGCCUGCUGGACGACCACUGACGGUGAGGCGCGAAAGCGUGGGGAGCAAACAGGAUUAGAUACCCCUGUAGUC
This 442-nucleotide ribosomal RNA is filed under the name uncultured bacterium. Its description in RNAcentral is "partial 16S ribosomal RNA". It matches the Rfam family "Bacterial small subunit ribosomal RNA", at positions 338 to 795 of the family's 1533-position model. The record is from RNAcentral.